Anastrepha obliqua is the source of this 252-nucleotide long non-coding RNA. RefSeq lists it as uncharacterized. The record is from RefSeq and is a predicted model, not a curated record. The transcript has 3 exons. NCBI's taxonomy places the organism in Eukaryota, Metazoa, Arthropoda, Insecta, Diptera, Tephritidae.
AGCACAUUUCCUGUUGCGGAAAAGUAGUUGAAGUGAAUUUUUGUGUGAGUGUGGAACUUUUUGAAUAAAAAUUCUCAUUUUUGAAAAUAGUUUCUUUAAUACUUGUGAGCUGGUUGUUCUAGGAGAAUUAUCAACAACCUAAAGGUGUAGAUGCUUUUCAACUCAAUUUUCGUUCACCGAAUUCAACUUCAGCAGGCCAUAUCUCAAGCCACAUAGUCCACUUAAGCGUAAAAACCAAAGAGCAAAAAAAAA